GAUGAACGCUGGCGGCGUGCCUAAUACAUGCAAGUCGAGCGAACGGACGAGAAGCUUGCUUCUCUGUUGUUAGCGGCGGACGGGUGAGUAACACGUGGAUAACCUACCUAUAUGUCUGGGAUAACUUCGGGAAACCGUAGCUAAUACCGGAUAAUAUUUUGAACCGCAUGGUUCAAAAGUGAAAGACGGUCUUGCUGUCACUUAUAGCUGGAUCCGCGCUGCAUUAGCUAGUUGGUAAGGUAACGGCUUACCAAGGCAACGAUGCAUAGCCGACCUGAGAGGGUGAUCGGCCACACUGGAACGGAAACACGGUCCAGACUCCUACGGGAGGCAGCAGUAGGGAAUCUUCCGCAAUGGGCGAAAGCCUGACGGAGCAACGCCGCGUGAGUGAUGAAGGUCUUCGGAUCGUAAAACUCUGUUAUUAGGGAAGAACAUAUGUGUAAGGAACUGUGCACAUCUUGACGGUACCUAAUCAGAAAGCCACGGCUAACUACGUG
This 497-nucleotide ribosomal RNA is filed under the name uncultured bacterium. RNAcentral describes it as "partial 16S ribosomal RNA". It matches the Rfam family "Bacterial small subunit ribosomal RNA", at positions 28 to 507 of the family's 1533-position model. The record is from RNAcentral.